This 69-nucleotide non-coding RNA is filed under the name Halomonas eurihalina. The record is from RNAcentral. Lineage: Bacteria; Pseudomonadati; Pseudomonadota; Gammaproteobacteria; Oceanospirillales; Halomonadaceae.
AAGCGAAACGCCCACCUACGGGUGGGCGUCGUCCGGCGGUGGUGCGCUGGGCCUGAUGAGCAGCCAAGU